GAGAGUACAUGUACCAGCAAAAAAGGCACCUGCAGGACAUCGCAGUGUUCUGCUGACGAGCUGGAGAUCCCACAAGGCUGUACAGGCGAUGGGUGUAGGUGCUGCGCCCCUAAAGGUCCAGUUUGCAAACAACAAAGUACAUGUAUUGCCAAGAAAGGCACCUGCACAACAUCACAGUGUUCAGAAGUUGAGCUGGAGAUCACACAAGGCUGUACAGGUGACGGGUGCAGGUGCUGCGCCCCUAAAAGUAUAGGCUGUCGACCUGAAAGUGCAUGUACCACUAAGAAAGGAACCUGCAAAUUAUCACAGUGUUCAGCUGAUGAGCUGGAGAUCCCACAAGGCUGUACAGGUGACGGGUGUAGGUGCUGCGCCCCUAAA
Procambarus clarkii (red swamp crayfish) is the source of this 378-nucleotide non-coding RNA. Lineage: Eukaryota; Metazoa; Arthropoda; Malacostraca; Decapoda; Cambaridae. The record is from RefSeq and is a predicted model, not a curated record.